RNA transcript from Fragaria vesca subsp. vesca, 2853 nucleotides. It is a transcript of the gene named glutamate receptor 2.7-like, with no coding region annotated. NCBI's taxonomy places the organism in Eukaryota, Viridiplantae, Streptophyta, Magnoliopsida, Rosales, Rosaceae. The transcript has 6 exons. The record is from RefSeq and is a predicted model, not a curated record.
AUGGGGGUUGUGGGAAUUAGUACAGUUAUGAUGGUAAUAGAGGACAUGUCUCGUUAUUGGGGGAAUGUGUUCAGGAUUGGUCAUGAAGGAGACAAGCACGACUUGUUUAAAGGGAUGCCAGCAGCCAAGAAUAGAUUGUAUAUGAAGAGAGUCUGCUUGGUCCUGAAGGAGUAUCAAGCUAAGAAAUUAAGAAAAGUUAUGUCUUGGGGUCUCUUAGUUUCGCUGCUGCUGGUGAGUUCAUCCCUGAUCAAUGGAAGAGGGGACAGAUGUCAAAAGCGCCAACAACACAGAGAUGCAACAAUAGGAGCUGUAGUUGAUUUCACUUCUCGUGUGGGAAAAGAACAGAGAAUAGCCAUGGAUUUGGCUAUCCAAGACCUUCUUCACCCGAGCUGCCUUACAGUAAACUUAGACCUCAGAGAUUCACAAGGCCGUUCUGCUAAAUCAACUUCUGCUGCAAGCAAUCUUCUGAAUGAUAAAAAAGUUGAAGCCAUCAUUGGAACUCUAACCAUGCAAGAAGCAGCUGUAGCCUCUGAGAUCGAAAUUCGGAACGGAAACUUCACCAUUUUAUCACUUAUUUCAACCGCCAUAAAACCAUCUCCAGCCUCACUUCAACUGCCAAAUUAUCUCCAAGUAGCAAAUGACAUUGUUAUCCAUAUACAAUGUUUAGCAGCUUUAGUUGGUCAUUUCCAAUGGAGGAAGGUGACUGCACUUUAUGAACAAAACACCGACUUUUCCUCCAAUUCUGGAAUGAUCACCCUCCUCUCUGAUUCACUUAAAUUGGUCAACUCAGAGAUUGAACACCACCAAGCUUUCCCACCCCUCUCUUUUCUCCCUGAUCCGGAUGCCUUCUUCGAUGAAGAGCUGAAGAAGUUGAGGAGCAAGAGCAACAGGGUUUUCAUAGUCACCCAGUUCUCUUUGGAUUCAGCUGUUUUUCUGUUUCGGAAGGCAAAGGAAAUGGGGAUGAUGGGUAAAGGCUAUGUAUGGAUUGUCACAGAUGAGAUUGCAAGUCUUCUUGACUCUGUUGAUACUUCUAUAAAGUACAAUAUGCAAGGUGUGAUUGGUAUUAAAACCAACUUCAUAGAAACAACUAAAAAUUUCGCGAAGUUUAAAACCAGAUUUCGCAGACUGUAUGGACUGCAAUAUCCUGAAGAAGAAGAAAACUCUAGUCCAAGCAUCUUCGCUCUUCGAACAUAUGACACAGUGCACGCCAUUGCUCUAGCCAUGAAAAAUGCUGCCUCAAAUUAUUUGUCUCAAGAAAUUUUGUCCACCAAAUUCCAAGGUUUAAGUGGCAUGAUGGAGUUCAAGAAUGGAAUGCUAUCCCAAUCACCAACCUUUCAAAUCAUUAAUGUGUAUGGCAGAAGCUACAGCGAGAUUGCAUUCUGGUCACCGCGCUUUGGUUUCUCAGAUAGCAUGAACAAACACCUUGAUAUGAAGGAGAGGACUAAUCACAGUUUUGUUCAAGUUUUGGGUCCAAUCAACUGGCCAGGUGGCUUACAAGCACCCCCAAAGGGGUGGACUCUUGUCGAUGAAGAAAGACCCUUGAAGAUAGGGAUUCCAGCGAGGGGUGCCUUCAAUCAGUUUGUGAAAGUAACAUAUGACCAGAACACGAAUCAAACACGCAUCACAGGGUUUUCAAUUGAUAUGUUUGAAGCAGCUGUCAAAAACCUGCCUUAUCAUAUGCCUUAUGUGUUUAUUCCCUUCAAUGGCUCAUAUGAUGAAUUGGUGGAACAGGUCUACUACAAGGGCUUGGAUGCAGCUGUUGGUGAUAUAGAAGUCAUAGCUGACCGGUAUCAUUAUGUUGAGUUCUCACAACCAUAUAUAAGCUCUGGACUUGAGAUGGUAGUCCCUGUAAAGUCAGAUAAGCUGAGGAAAAAUGGAUGUUCAUGAAGGCCUUCAGCAAAACCAUGUGGUUUCUCAUAAUCAUUAUACAUCUAUCUGUAUGCUUUGCUGUCUGUUUUAUUGAAAAUGAGCAUGGCCAAAACUUUGAAUUAAAGAGAAUUGGGGACAUCCUGUGGUUCUCUGUCACCGUCUUAUUUUUCGCGCAAAGAGAACGAGUCCAGAGUAAUUUGGCAAGGCUGGUAUUGGCUCCAUGGUUACUAGUGAUUCUACUAGUAGUGGCCACUUUCACAGCGAGCCUCUCUUCCAUGAUGACUAUCUCUCGAGUCCAGCCAUCUGUGCUCGAUGUGGAAACACUGAAGAAAGGAAUGGAACUGUUGGAUGUAACGGCAACUCCUUUAUCGUAAGGUACCUUAUCGAUGUUCUAGAGUUCAGACCAGAAAACAUCAAGAGAAUUUCCUCCAUAAGUGACUACCCAAAGGCCUUUGAGAGUGGAGAAAUUCAAGCAGCUUUCUUCGUUGCGCCCCAUGCUAAAGUCUUCCUCGCAUGUACUGCAAGGGCUAUAUGAAAGCAGGUCCGAUAUACAAGCCUAGCGGCUUUGCAUUUGUUUUUCCAAAGGGGUCUCCUCUGGCCAUUGACAUGUCAAAGGCAAUCGUAGAAAUAAACGAGAAGAAGCAAGUGGAGCUAUUAGAAAGACAAAUGCUCUCCUCCUUCAACUGUUCCCCUUCACUCAACUCGAACGAUGGUCCAAUAGGUUAUGAGCCCUUUUCUGGCCUAUUUCUAAUCUCAGGUUUGGUUUGUGCAUUUGGGCUUCUGGUUACAAGCGGGCGUAAAGCCGAGAAGCAUCUACAGAAUAUGAGCUGCAUACGAGCAAUACUAAUCAAAACAAGAACUCUGACAUGGGCUUUUCUGUACUUGAAUCAGAGCUACAGACAAUCUCAAAAGCAUUGCUCCACAAGCUCCAUUCUAGAAACUUGCUCUACAAGGAACAUGAGUAGUGGUGUUAUAGUGAUUUAA